This 101-nucleotide ribosomal RNA is filed under the name uncultured bacterium. RNAcentral's name for it is "partial 16S ribosomal RNA". It matches the Rfam family "Bacterial small subunit ribosomal RNA", at positions 1384 to 1482 of the family's 1533-position model. The record is from RNAcentral.
UACACACCGCCCGUCACGCCAUGAGAGUUGUUUGUACCCAAAAACAUCUUAGCUAACCUUAACGGAGGCGGAUGUCUAAGGUAUGAAUAAUGAUUGGGGCG